RNAcentral lists this ribosomal RNA (483 nucleotides) under uncultured bacterium. RNAcentral describes it as "partial 16S ribosomal RNA". It matches the Rfam family "Bacterial small subunit ribosomal RNA", at positions 30 to 506 of the family's 1533-position model. The record is from RNAcentral.
AUUGAACGCUGGCGGCAUGCCUUACACAUGCAAGUCGAACGGCAGCGCGGACUUCGGUCUGGCGGCGAGUGGCGAACGGGUGAGUAAUACAUCGGAACGCACCCUGUUGUGGGGGAUAACUAGUCGAAAGAUUAGCUAAUACCGCAUACGACCUGAGGGUGAAAGUGGGGGACCGCAAGGCCUCACGCAGCAGGAGCGGCCGAUGUCUGAUUAGCUAGUUGGUGGGGUAAAGGCCCACCAAGGCGACGAUCAGUAGCUGGUCUGAGAGGACGAUCAGCCACACUGGGACUGAGACACGGCCCAGACUCCUACGGGAGGCAGCAGUGGGGAAUUUUGGACAAUGGGGGCAACCCUGAUCCAGCAAUGCCGCGUGUGUGAAGAAGGCCUUCGGGUUGUAAAGCACUUUUGUCCGGAAAGAAAUCGCGCUGGUUAAUACCUGGCGUGGAUGACGGUACCGGAAGAAUAAGCACCGGCUAACUACGU